RNAcentral lists this small nuclear RNA (328 nucleotides) under Felis catus (domestic cat). Its description in RNAcentral is "7SK RNA". It matches the Rfam family "7SK RNA". Rfam says of the family: 7SK was discovered as an abundant small nuclear RNA in the mid-70s but a possible function has only recently been suggested. Two independent studies have found that 7SK RNA binds the CDK9/cyclin T complex (known as elongation factor P-TEFb). P-TEFb activates transcription by phosphorylating the C-terminal domain of RNA polymerase II. The record is from Rfam by way of RNAcentral. Lineage: Eukaryota; Metazoa; Chordata; Mammalia; Carnivora; Felidae.
AGGUGUGAGGGCCAUCUGGCUGCUACAUCUGUCACCCCUCUUUAUCACUAGGGUUGAUUUGGCUGAUCUGGUUGGGUAGGCAGACGCCCCCUUCUCCCCCACCACUCCAUAUGCGUCCCUCCUGAAGCUGAAUGAUACUCAGUAGAAAAGGAUGACCUGCUCCAGUAGAUGAGGAGGACCACUGUCUGGUCAAGGGGAGCUGUGCUCCCCUACUCAACCUCCACACAAGCUCUCAAGGUCCAUUAGUAGGAGCAUGCAUGUUGGUCAGGCUCCCAAGACUUCAGACACAUCCAAAUGAGGCAAUGCAUGUGGCAGUCUGCAUUUAUUU